This 1434-nucleotide ribosomal RNA is filed under the name uncultured organism. RNAcentral describes it as "16S ribosomal RNA". It matches the Rfam family "Bacterial small subunit ribosomal RNA". The record is from RNAcentral.
CAGGCUUAACACAUGCAAGUCGAGGGGCAGCAUGGUCUUAGCUUGCUAAGGCCGAUGGCGACCGGCGCACGGGUGAGUAACACGUAUCCAACCUGCCGUCUACUCUUGGACAGCCUUCUGAAAGGAAGAUUAAUACAAGAUGGCAUCAUGAGUCCGCAUGUUCACAUGAUUAAAGGUAUUCCGGUAGACGAUGGGGAUGCGUUCCAUUAGAUAGUAGGCGGGGUAACGGCCCACCUAGUCUUCGAUGGAUAGGGGUUCUGAGAGGAAGGUCCCCCACAUUGGAACUGAGACACGGUCCAAACUCCUACGGGAGGCAGCAGUGAGGAAUAUUGGUCAAUGGGCGAGAGCCUGAACCAGCCAAGUAGCGUGAAGGAUGACUGCCCUAUGGGUUGUAAACUUCUUUUAUAAAGGAAUAAAGUCGGGUAUGGAUACCCGUUUGCAUGUACUUUAUGAAUAAGGAUCGGCUAACUCCGUGCCAGCAGCCGCGGUAAUACGGAGGAUCCGAGCGUUAUCCGGAUUUAUUGGGUUUAAAGGGAGCGUAGAUGGAUGUUUAAGUCAGUUGUGAAAGUUUGCGGCUCAACCGUAAAAUUGCAGUUGAUACUGGAUAUCUUGAGUGCAGUUGAGGCAGGCGGAAUUCGUGGUGUAGCGGUGAAAUGCUUAGAUAUCACGAAGAACUCCGAUUGCGAAGGCAGCCUGCUAAGCUGCAACUGACAUUGAGGCUCGAAAGUGUGGGUAUCAAACAGGAUUAGAUACCCUGGUAGUCCACACGGUAAACGAUGAAUACUCGCUGUUUGCGAUAUACUGCAAGCGGCCAAGCGAAAGCGUUAAGUAUUCCACCUGGGGAGUACGCCGGCAACGGUGAAACUCAAAGGAAUUGACGGGGGCCCGCACAAGCGGAGGAACAUGUGGUUUAAUUCGAUGAUACGCGAGGAACCUUACCCGGGCUUAAAUUGCAGAUGAAUUACGGUGAAAGCCGUAAGCCGCAAGGCAUCUGUGAAGGUGCUGCAUGGUUGUCGUCAGCUCGUGCCGUGAGGUGUCGGCUUAAGUGCCAUAACGAGCGCAACCCUUGUUGUCAGUUACUAACAGGUUCCGCUGAGGACUCUGACAAGACUGCCAUCGUAAGAUGUGAGGAAGGCGGGGAUGACGUCAAAUCAGCACGGCCCUUACGUCCGGGGCUACACACGUGUUACAAUGGGGGGUACAGAGGGCCGCUACCACGCGAGUGGAUGCCAAUCCCCAAAACCUCUCUCAGUUCGGACUGGAGUCUGCAACCCGACUCCACGAAGCUGGAUUCGCUAGUAAUCGCGCAUCAGCCACGGCGCGGUGAAUACGUUCCCGGGCCUUGUACACACCGCCCGUCAAGCCAUGGGAGCCGGGGGUACCUGAAGUGCGUAACCGCGAGGAGCGCCCUAGGGUAAAACUGGUGACUGGGGC